RNAcentral lists this long non-coding RNA (1280 nucleotides) under Anas platyrhynchos platyrhynchos (common mallard). RNAcentral describes it as "lncRNA (ENSAPLG00000019024.1)". The record is from RNAcentral. Lineage: Eukaryota; Metazoa; Chordata; Aves; Anseriformes; Anatidae.
GAAAAGCAUAUAUGUGUCUGUAACUCCCUUAUGGAAGUAUAAAAUAUUCAACAUCAGGGCAUGAUGUUUGGCUAGCUAAUGAAAAAAGAUAUCUCACUUUAUUGUCACAGACAAUUUGCUAGAAAAAAAAUAUGAACUGUAGGUGUUUUGUAUGAUUGCACCUUUCAUGAAAGAACUGUAUAUGACCUGCAAGUGCAUAAGCUCAUAUUUUGCUUCAGUGCAGUCCCCUCCAGUCUUUUGAAGUGCCUGUAAACAAAAAUAAAACAUAACCAUGAGGUGGAAGUGAAUGGAGAAUUGUCACUGUGUAGAUUUUACACCUGCUUUCUAAAGCAUACAUGCGAUAAAGGAAAAGGGACUGUAAGAUCCCCUAGGUUCAUUGCAUGCUUGACAAAUGUUUGACCACAUUCAAUGCACAGGGCAACAAGCAUCUACCCCAAAAGAAUAUUUUUAAGUCAUUUUACUUGUAUCAGCAGGCUUGUGAAGAGGCUUCUGCAAGGUUCAAGCUCUGUGGCCCCAGACUAUGUAUGUGAAGCACACUGGUGAAUUAUGGAGGCCAGCUGCGCAGCCCUGCAUUGGAGCUGUGCAGAGUGAUUGCCCCCAGCAGUGAGGAGGCAUAGCCAAUGCAGCACGGCUGAGGUUAAGCACAAGCAUGACAUCGUCCUGGCCUCAAUCAAAAAUGACACAAGACACCAGAUGGAUGCAAAUACACGGGGGAAGCACAAGACAAAACAUUUAUUCUUUUAGUAAGCAUCAGCCACAGUGCACCAGCUGCUUAGGUAUUAAAUAUUUUGUAGGCACUAUUGUAUAGAUAUAAAAAUCAUAAUAAUCAUUGCUAUAACUUAGCAUAUGUGAGGAAAAAAAAAAAAAAAAAAGAUUUUUUCUUGCUGUUGUACCAUGGGACUGGAAAAAUGUGGCCAUUAAAAGAAAACACCUCUGUAAGUAUAAGCAUUCAGUCAUUCUUCAGCCGUAAACAUUACAUUAUCCUAGAUUAAGUCGAAGUUGAUGGUUCUGUUCUCAUUUAACAGCUGAUAAAUAUCAUAUUAGAAUGUUGAGAUGAGUGUGUCUGCAGUAUACAACUGGUUACAAUUUGCAACGUUGGCUAAUUUUAUAUCUGUUCAGAUAUCUAAACUGUUCUGAAAAGAAAAUUCACCCCUCCCUAAAAUGCCCAGAAGCAUAUUAAAGUAGGAUUGGUACAUGAAAUACAUAAAGAGGAAAAGGUGAUGAUGAAUCUCAUAUUAGAACAAUAUUUUAAAAAUAAACUUAUGAAAACGUAGAAAUCA